UUGCUGCUUUGCUGACGAGUGGCGGACGGGUGAGUAAUGUCUGGGAAACUGCCCGAUGGAGGGGGAUAACUACUGGAAACGGUAGCUAAUACCGCAUAACGUCGCAAGACCAAAGAGGGGGACCUUAGGGCCUCUUGCCAUCGGAUGUGCCCAGAUGGGAUUAGCUAGUAGGUGGGGUAAAGGCUCACCUAGGCGACGAUCCCUAGCUGGUCUGAGAGGAUGACCAGCCACACUGGAACUGAGACACGGUCCAGACUCCUACGGGAGGCAGCAGUGGGGAAUAUUGCACAAUGGGCGCAAGCCUGAUGCAGCCAUGCCGCGUGUAUG
RNAcentral lists this ribosomal RNA (327 nucleotides) under uncultured bacterium. Its description in RNAcentral is "bacterial SSU rRNA". It matches the Rfam family "Bacterial small subunit ribosomal RNA", at positions 74 to 407 of the family's 1533-position model. The record is from RNAcentral.